GCAGACACAUUCCAGCCAAUCAGCAGCAGACCCUCCCUCCCAGACCCUCCCACCUCCUGGACAGCAUCCAUUUUACAUUCAUUAGUGAGCUGUCCAGGAGGUGGGAGGGUCUGGGAGGGAGGGUCUGCUGCUGAUUGGCUGGAAAGUGUCUG
Molecule: non-coding RNA, 152 nt
Organism: Pelobates cultripes (western spadefoot toad)
Lineage: Eukaryota; Metazoa; Chordata; Amphibia; Anura; Pelobatidae
Source: the annotation of a GenBank genome assembly